UGAGUAACACGUGGGUGAUCUGCCCUGCACUUUGGGAUAAGCCUGGGAAACUGGGUCUAAUACCGGAUAGGACCACGGCAUUCAUGUGCUGUGGUGGAAAGCUUUUGCGGUGUGGGAUGGGCCCGCGGCCUAUCAGCUUGUUGGUGGGGUAAUGGCCUACCAAGGCGACGACGGGUAGCCGGCCUGAGAGGGUGACCGGCCACACUGGGACUGAGAUACGGCCCAGACUCCUACGGGAGGCAGCAGUGGGGAAUAUUGCACAAUGGGCGCAAGCCUGAUGCAGCGACGCCGCGUGAGGGAUGACGGCCUUCGGGUUGUAAACCUCUUUCGCCAGGGACGAAGCGCAAGUGACGGUACCUGGAGAAGAAGGACCGGCCAACUACGUGCCAGCAGCCGCGGUAAUACGUAGGGUCCGAGCGUUGUCCGGAAUUACUGGGCGUAAAGAGCUCGUAGGUGGUUUGUCG
This 464-nucleotide ribosomal RNA is filed under the name uncultured Mycobacterium sp. RNAcentral describes it as "bacterial SSU rRNA". It matches the Rfam family "Bacterial small subunit ribosomal RNA", at positions 107 to 585 of the family's 1533-position model. Lineage: Bacteria; Bacillati; Actinomycetota; Actinomycetes; Mycobacteriales; Mycobacteriaceae. The record is from RNAcentral.